Alnus glutinosa is the source of this 948-nucleotide long non-coding RNA. RefSeq lists it as uncharacterized. The transcript has 4 exons. NCBI's taxonomy places the organism in Eukaryota, Viridiplantae, Streptophyta, Magnoliopsida, Fagales, Betulaceae. The record is from RefSeq and is a predicted model, not a curated record.
UUUGUGAAAUAUGCAUGCUCGUGAUCUGGUUUGUUUUUCGCUUCUUUGAGAUCUUCUUGCGAGCUUAAUUUAUUGUAUGAAAACCCCCGCCACUCCAAGUUUCGGCCACCAACGUGCAGCCCAGCUUAGAAAUUGUUAAAUUGUCAUAAUAAAUUUCUAAACCAAUUGCAAACAUGCUGCUCGUCUUGUUAACCCAAUUAAUUCAGGUUUUGUUGGCAGUUUGUAUUUCCUUAAUUAAUUUGUUGCUGCUGCGGACCAGUGUUUGGAGACGGUGGUGGAAAGGGCUGUAGCAUUGGAGUGCCCUAUAUAUGGGCGUAGCAAAUUCUGGGGAGGAUAAAGAGCAGGAGCGCGCAGUUGGCACAGAUAUUGAAGAGAUAGGUAGCAUUAUCAAUGCAGACGAGGAAGAACCGGGUGCAAACUGUAAAGAAUGAAGAGGGCUUCAGAAGAUUAGUGCCCCCUCCCCUCCGAUUGCUGCUGAUUGCAUCGAGAGAAUUAAGAGCUCCGAUCCCACUCAACCAUGACAUGAAGGUGGAGCAAUGCAGUUGAGAACUAUAUGCCUAUAAAUAGGCUGCUACCCCAGGUCAUGAAGAACAAGAUGAAUCAUCAGACAACAUGUCACCAUGCUGGAAACUGCAUCAACAAGUGUAACUGUACUAGGAAUCUGCACAGUCGAGCUGACUGAUAACAUCUGAGAAAUCAUCCUCAUGGUUGGCCUAGAUUGUGGAUUCGCACGUAAGCAAGCAGCUGCGCAAGUUACAAUCUUUUUCAGUUGGUCCUCAACUUCAACUGUGGGCGUUGAAAGGCGUUGGUCCAAUAUGUCCUUCAGCUGUAUGUUAGCAGAGGGAGACGAUGCAGUAGAGAUGAAAUCAGCAGGAUGAUUUCCUUUGAUUACUUCAAGUGCCAACACUCCAAAGCUAUACACGUCACAUUUCUCGGUCACCUUCAUUG